RNAcentral lists this ribosomal RNA (474 nucleotides) under uncultured organism. RNAcentral describes it as "partial 16S ribosomal RNA". It matches the Rfam family "Bacterial small subunit ribosomal RNA", at positions 332 to 797 of the family's 1533-position model. The record is from RNAcentral.
UACACUCCUACGGGAGGCAGCAGUGGGGAAUAUCGCACAAUGGGCGCAAGCCUGAUGCAGCCAUGCCGCGUGUAUGAAGAAGGCCUUCGGGUUGUAAAGUACUUUCAGCGGGGAGGAAGGCGAUAAGGUUAAUAACCUUGUCGAUUGACGUUACCCGCAGAAGAAGCACCGGCUAACUCCGUGCCAGCAGCCGCGGUAAUACGGAGGGUGCAAGCGUUAAUCGGAAUUACUGGGCGUAAAGCGCACGCAGGCGGUCUGUCAAGUCGGAUGUGAAAUCCCCGGGCUCAACCUGGGAACUGCAUUCGAAACUGGCAGGCUAGAGUCUUGUAGAGGGGGGUAGAAUUCCAGGUGUAGCGGUGAAAUGCGUAGAGAUCUGGAGGAAUACCGGUGGCGAAGGCGGCCCCCUGGACAAAGACUGACGCUCAGGUGCGAAAGCGUGGGGAGCAAACAGGAUUAGAAACCCUAGUAGUCCCA